RNAcentral lists this transfer RNA (72 nucleotides) under Canis lupus familiaris (dog). It matches the Rfam family "tRNA". From Rfam's summary of the family: Transfer RNA (tRNA) molecules are approximately 80 nucleotides in length. Their secondary structure includes four short double-helical elements and three loops (D, anti-codon, and T loops). RNAcentral also lists the same sequence under 1 other name. Lineage: Eukaryota; Metazoa; Chordata; Mammalia; Carnivora; Canidae. The record is from Rfam by way of RNAcentral.
AUCUGGCUGGCUCAGUUGUAGAGCACAUGACUCCUGAUCUCAAGAUUGUGGGUUCGAGCCCCACAAUGGAUG